Molecule: ribosomal RNA, 466 nt
Filed under: uncultured bacterium
Lineage: Bacteria
Description: partial 16S ribosomal RNA
Rfam family: Bacterial small subunit ribosomal RNA
Source: RNAcentral
GACGAACGCUGGCGGCGCGCCUAACACAUGCAAGUCGAACGAGCUAGAGAGAGCUUGCUUUCUCGAGCGAGUGGCGAACGGGUGAGUAACGCGUGAGGAACCUGCCUCAAAGAGGGGGACAACAGUUGGAAACGACUGCUAAUACCGCAUAAGCCCACGGCUCGGCAUCGAGCAGGGGGAAAAGGAGCAAUCCGCUUUGAGAUGGCCUCGCGUCCGAUUAGCUAGUUGGUGAGGUAACGGCCCACCAAGGCGACGAUCGGUAGCCGGACUGAGAGGUUGAACGGCCACAUUGGGACUGAGACACGGCCCAGACUCCUACGGGAGGCAGCAGUGGGGAAUAUUGCACAAUGGGGGAAACCCUGAUGCAGCGACGCCGCGUGGAGGAAGAAGGUCUUCGGAUUGUAAACUCCUGUUGUUGGGGAAGAUAGUGACGGUACCCAACAAGGAAGUGACGGCUAACUACGUG